Molecule: ribosomal RNA, 847 nt
Filed under: Chaetomium globosum
Lineage: Eukaryota; Fungi; Ascomycota; Sordariomycetes; Sordariales; Chaetomiaceae
Description: eukaryotic LSU rRNA
Rfam family: Eukaryotic large subunit ribosomal RNA
Source: RNAcentral
GCGGAGGAAAAGAAACCAACAGGGAUUGCCCUAGUAACGGCGAGUGAAGCGGCAACAGCUCAAAUUUGAAAUCUGGCUUCGGCCCGAGUUGUAAUUUGCAGAGGAAGCUUUAGGCGCGGCACUUUCUGAGUCCCCUGGAACGGGGCGCCAUAGAGGGUGAGAGCCCCGUAUAGUUAGAUGCCUAGCCUGUGUAAAGCUCCUUCGACGAGUCGAGUAGUUUGGGAAUGCUGCUCAAAAUGGGAGGUAAAUUUCUUCUAAAGCUAAAUACCGGCCAGAGACCGAUAGCGCACAAGUAGAGUGAUCGAAAGAUGAAAAGCACUUUGAAAAGAGGGUUAAAUAGCACGUGAAAUUGUUGAAAGGGAAGCGCUUGUGACCAGACUUGCGCCGGGCAGAUCAUCCGGUGUUCUCACCGGUGCACUCUGCCCGGCUCAGGCCAGCAUCGGUUCUCGCGGGGGGAUAAAGGCCCUGGGAACGUAGCUCCUCCGGGAGUGUUAUAGCCCGGGGCGUAAUGCCCUCGCGGGGACCGAGGUUCGCGCAUCUGCAAGGAUGCUGGCGUAAUGGUCAUCAGCGACCCGUCUUGAAACACGGACCAAGGAGUCAAGGUUUUGCGCGAGUGUUUGGGUGUAAAACCCGCACGCGUAAUGAAAGUGAACGUAGGUGAGAGCUUCGGCGCAUCAUCGACCGAUCCUGAUGUUUUCGGAUGGAUUUGAGUAGGAGCGUUAAGCCUUGGACCCGAAAGAUGGUGAACUAUGCUUGGAUAGGGUGAAGCCAGAGGAAACUCUGGUGGAGGCUCGCAGCGGUUCUGACGUGCAAAUCGAUCGUCAAAUCUGAGCAUGGGGGCGAAAGA